Vanessa tameamea is the source of this 519-nucleotide long non-coding RNA. RefSeq lists it as uncharacterized. NCBI's taxonomy places the organism in Eukaryota, Metazoa, Arthropoda, Insecta, Lepidoptera, Nymphalidae. The transcript has 2 exons. The record is from RefSeq and is a predicted model, not a curated record.
AUUUAAUAACAUUCAUUGUCAUUGCGAUCGUAGCGAUUAUUAUAAUAAUAAUUAUUACUAUAAGUACUAUAAAACAUUAUAAGAAGAAUAAGGUGAAAGAGGAUAAAAUAACUUUAAACGGUAAUUCAGUGGAAACAAGAUGGGAGCUUAAAUGUUCACCUGAAACAUACUCAAAUCCGGCUGAUGUUAUAUACAACACGAACAACGCGAGUGCCGUCUACAGCAGUCCGUGCAAGGAAGUUAUGUACACGACACCCAUACCAAAAAACUUACGAGUUGUAAAUAAAAUUGAAUAUGAAAAUUUAAGAACCAAACAUCAAAUAUAUCAUAACGAUGUCAACGUUAAAACAAACUACGAAAACUCGAACAAUUACAACACAACAUACGCCAAUUUAAAUAAUAAGAAUUUCAAUAAUUAUUCAAAUACAUUAUGCAACGGAAAUAUUGGAUCAGAUAUGUACAGUUAUAUUGUAGUCGAUAAUUAAUUAGUGAACUGUUAAAUCUGUAUUAAUAAAUGAG